Molecule: non-coding RNA, 639 nt
Organism: Prunus avium (sweet cherry)
Lineage: Eukaryota; Viridiplantae; Streptophyta; Magnoliopsida; Rosales; Rosaceae
Source: RefSeq, a predicted model, not a curated record
GGAUCAGCUUGCAGAGCUACUGGCUUGGCACAUGCUGCUGAUACACCAGUAUGUGGAUCUCGUUGUGCCGAUGAUAAUGGGCCUUGUGCUGAAGAAGGAUUGGCACACAUCGAUGCUUUGUUUCUUGACCUCUUGUUGGCCAUUAAUCUGAGGUAAAGUUUAGCAACAACUUUUUAGACAAAUGCCAGUCAAAGCAGCCAUGCCAGGUUCCCCAGCCUUUUGCUUAUCAUCAGCAGAAAAUUAAUUGAUUAAGUUAUGCACCAGAAAUUAAGAAAUGAAAAUAAAGAGAGAAAGGGUGUAAAAGAAAAGCAUUAUGAGUAUCAAGCAAUACGUAGCACAAUAGAGGUGAAGUGGAGGACAACCAAGAGGCUAAUAUCACAAAAGAAUUGGUGAUUCAAAAGAAAAUUUCAUGACUAGUUUGUGGAGAUUUACCUUGAGAGUGAAAUUCACUGCAUGAACUGAGAAACGAUUGAGGAAUGCGAGCAGUGCUGGAGAGAUAUUAAGACUGCCAUACACCAAAUUUAUGAACAAAAAAAAAUUGUGAAUAAAUUCAUGACAAACCAAUGAUGUAUAAACAAAAGUAAUAAGUAAUGGCAAAUAUCAAAGGGUGUUUUGUUUCUUUUAAUUUUUUCUCCUUUC